UACGAAGGGGGCUAGCGUUGUUCGGAAUUACUGGGCGUAAAGCGUGCGCAGGCGGCUGCUCAAGUCAGGGGUGAAAGCCCAGAGCUCAACUCUGGAAUUGCCUUUGAGACUGAGUGGCUUGAGUACGGGAGAGGUGAGUGGAAUUCCCAGUGUAGAGGUGAAAUUCGUAGAUAUUGGGAAGAACACCGGUGGCGAAGGCGGCUCGCUGGCCCGUAACUGACGCUCAUGCACGACAGCGUGGGGAUCAAACAGG
Molecule: ribosomal RNA, 253 nt
Filed under: uncultured bacterium
Lineage: Bacteria
Description: partial 16S ribosomal RNA
Rfam family: Bacterial small subunit ribosomal RNA
Source: RNAcentral